CAUCAGUCACAAUCGCAAGAGCACGCGGAAAAAGGAAAGCAGAGGUUUUUAUUCCUAACGCAAUCCCUACCUCUGGCAUGGGCUGGGGCCAGACCUCAAGAUCUAAACCGACCCGGUUGGCUAUUUGUGAAUAUUUUCCCAAAUAAGGAAGGGGGAAGGGGGAUGUGAGUUACAACGGUGGGACGUGUGGUUUGGAAGGGAGACAUGGGUGCAGAGCAGGUAACCAAGGGAACAGAUGUGAGUGAUUGAUUAGAACUGACGGGAAGGUUGUUUACAGUAACUAAGGGCAAGCAGGCAUGGAGAACAAGAAAGUUGAGUUCCAGAACAAAAAACAAGAAUGUUAACAUGCCAAACCUUGGAAGAGAAACUGACUGUAUCUGACAGUUUUAUACAUUUUAGGGAGACAGGAGACAUCAAUCAACAUAUGUAAGAUGAACACUGGUUUGAUCCGGUACAAUCUGAAGCAAAAGUGGGUCAACUUGAAGCCAGGAGGCGGCUUCCAGGUCACAGAAACGGGGGUCUCCCUCGGUUGCCCAGGCUGGUCUCUCUCCGUAAUUUCUACAAAUAAUCCAGUGAAGGAACACCAGAGCGUGGAAAGCGGAGGACGACGGACAAAGGACUCCCCAGCAGGUUUUCACUUCAAGCUCUAGGUGUAACAGCUCAGCGGCAUGCUGCAGGUGCUCGGGGAGAUAACACUCCGUCGAAGUGGAGUAUAAUCAAACAUCUUGGCUCCUCCUGAAACCCGCUCCCACCCAUUUCAGUCCCGAUCUUAAGUUAAAGAUCUUCAGUAGUUUAAAGGUAAAGAUCUUAAGUAGACACACGCCUUUGCUCAAGGAAAAUUCGCAGAAACCGCCACUGCUAUACACCUUGUCGAACGACUCGCGAGUUCUCCUUCACUAAUUCAUCCUUUUCCGCAUCCCUUCUUACCACUCCCAUUUGCCCUAAGCACAAAGAGCUUGUAAACCAAUAAAUUGGGUGGAGGCCUAGAGCUCCGGGCCC
Long non-coding RNA from Rhinopithecus roxellana (golden snub-nosed monkey), 999 nucleotides. RefSeq lists it as uncharacterized. NCBI's taxonomy places the organism in Eukaryota, Metazoa, Chordata, Mammalia, Primates, Cercopithecidae. The transcript is spliced from 3 exons. The record is from RefSeq and is a predicted model, not a curated record.